AAGGCCUUCGGGUUGAAACCUCUUUCAGCAGGGAAGAAGCGAAAGUGACGGUACCUGCAGAAGAAGCACCGGCUAACUACGUGCCAGCAGCCGCGGUAAUACGUAGGGUGCAAGCGUUGUCCGGAAUUAUUGGGCGUAAAGAGCUCGUAGGCGGUCUGUCGCGUCUGCUGUGAAAACCCAGGGCUUAACCCUGGGCCUGCAGUGGGUACGGGCAGACUAGAGUGCGGUAGGGGAGAUCGGAAUUCCUGGUGUAGCGGUGAAAUGCGCAGAUAUCAGGAGGAACACCGGUGGCGAAGGCGGAUCUCUGGGCCGUAACUGACGCUGAGGAGCGAAAGCAUGGGUAGCGAACAGGAUUAGAUACCCUGGUAGUCCAUGCCGUAAACGUUGGGCGCUAGGUGUGGGGCUCAUUCCACGAGUUCCGUGCCGCAGCUAACGCAUUAAGCGCCCCGCCUGGGGAGUACGGCCGCAAGGCUAAAACUCAAAGGAAUUGACGGGGGCCCGCACAAGCGGCGGAGCAUGCGGAUUAAUUCGAUGCAACGCGAAGAACCUUACCAAGGCUUGACAUACAGGGUAAUCCGGCAGAAAUGUCGGGUCCGCAAGGGAUCCUGUACAGGUGGUGCAUGGUUGUCGUCAGCUCGUGUCGUGAGAUGUUGGGUUAAGUCCCCGCACGAGCGCAACCCUUGUUCUAUGUUUGCAGCGCGUA
This 703-nucleotide ribosomal RNA is filed under the name uncultured bacterium. RNAcentral describes it as "bacterial SSU rRNA". It matches the Rfam family "Bacterial small subunit ribosomal RNA", at positions 411 to 1127 of the family's 1533-position model. The record is from RNAcentral.